Psammomys obesus (fat sand rat) is the source of this 132-nucleotide small nucleolar RNA. RefSeq annotates it as small nucleolar RNA SNORA17. The transcript has a single exon. The record is from RefSeq and is a predicted model, not a curated record. Lineage: Eukaryota; Metazoa; Chordata; Mammalia; Rodentia; Muridae.
ACUGCCCCUAGCGGUAUUGCAGGUGUGGCUGCUGUGUCACAUGUGCGUCAGUGGGUGGCAGAGAGGAGAUCGUCCAUGUCUACUCUCGGUCUUCUAACCUAUGGACAUCUGUAUGAUUAGUAGCCUGACACU